RNAcentral lists this ribosomal RNA (331 nucleotides) under uncultured bacterium. Its description in RNAcentral is "partial 16S ribosomal RNA". It matches the Rfam family "Bacterial small subunit ribosomal RNA", at positions 355 to 702 of the family's 1533-position model. The record is from RNAcentral.
UGGGGAAUAUUGGACAAUGGGGGCAACCCUGAUCCAGCAAUGCCGCGUGUGUGAAGAAGGUCUUCGGAUUGUAAAGCACUUUCGACGGGGACGAUGAUGACGGUACCCGUAGAAGAAGCCCCGGCUAACUUCGUGCCAGCAGCCGCGGUAAUACGAAGGGGGCCUAGCGUUGCUCGGAAUGACUGGGCGUAAAGGGCGUGUAGGCGGUUUACACAGUCAGAUGUGAAAUCCCCGGGCUUAACCUGGGAGCUGCAUCUGAUACGUGUAGACUAGAGUGUGAGAGAGGGUUGUGGAAUUCCCAGUGUAGAGGUGAAAUUCGUAGAUAUUGGGA